This 689-nucleotide ribosomal RNA is filed under the name uncultured Propionibacteriaceae bacterium. RNAcentral's name for it is "bacterial SSU rRNA". It matches the Rfam family "Bacterial small subunit ribosomal RNA", at positions 9 to 712 of the family's 1533-position model. Lineage: Bacteria; Bacillati; Actinomycetota; Actinomycetes; Propionibacteriales; Propionibacteriaceae. The record is from RNAcentral.
GAGUUUGAUCAUGGCUCAGGACGAACGCUGGCGGCGUGCUUAACACAUGCAAGUCGAACGGUAAGGCCCCUUCGGGGGUACACGAGUGGCGAACGGGUGAGUAACACGUGAGCAACCUGCCCUUGACACUGGGAUAAGCGAUUGAAAAGUCGUCUAAUACCGGAUAUGACUCUCACAGGCAUCUGUGAGGGUGGAAAUGCUCCGGCGGUCAAGGAUGGGCUCGCGGCCUAUCAGCUUGUUGGUGAGGUAACGGCUCACCAAGGCUUCGACGGGUAGCCGGCCUGAGAGGGCGACCGGCCACACUGGGACUGAGAUACGGCCCAGACUCCUACGGGAGGCAGCAGUGGGGAAUAUUGCGCAAUGGGCGAAAGCCUGACGCAGCAACGCCGCGUGCGGGAUGACGGCCUUCGGGUUGUAAACCGCUUUCAGCAGGGACGAAGGGUUUCUGACGGUACCUGCAGAAGAAGCACCGGCCAACUACGUGCCAGCAGCCGCGGUGAUACGUAGGGUGCGAGCGUUGUCCGGAAUUAUUGGGCGUAAAGAGCUUGUAGGCGGNUUGUCACGUCGGAAGUGAAAACUCAGGGCUUAACCCUGAGCCUGCUUCCGAUACGGGCAGACUAGAGGAAGGUAGGGGAGAAUGGAACUCCUGGUGGAGCGGUGGAAUGCGCAGAUAUCANGAAGAACACCGG